Long non-coding RNA from Cloeon dipterum, 386 nucleotides. RefSeq lists it as uncharacterized. The record is from RefSeq and is a predicted model, not a curated record. The transcript has 3 exons. Lineage: Eukaryota; Metazoa; Arthropoda; Insecta; Ephemeroptera; Baetidae.
UUGUUUUGGGUGGUUUGCAGGAAGGACUCAGGAGUGAUAAAUAGCGAAGCACGCGAGCGUUUUUCUGCAGAACAGCAAUCAUGGCCAAGACGCAAGCAUUGUAUCUCCUCCUGUUGUUGACAGCAUUGGUUUUGGCUGUCCAAUGUAUUCCUGCAGAGGAAAUGUCGCCAAAUGUAGCAGACAGACACAAGCGCAUGUAUUUUCCACCAAAUUAUAUCCAUAGACCUUGUGGAAAACUGGGACUGGGUUGCUUGCCGAUGAAAGCAGUCGGAUAGAUUGUUGGUGCGUUCCGUGAUUUCAAAUAAACUAUAUAUGGUAAUGCAUUUGAUUGGGAAAGCAACUUAAAUGUUUGUUCUGUCUUGAAAUAAAUUUGUAAGUUCAGCAAU